UACGUAGGGUGCAAGCGUUGCCCGGAUUUAUUGGGCGUAAAGGGCGCGUAGGCGGCCCGUCGCGUCGUGCGUGAAAUCUCCCGGCUCAACCGGGAGGGGUCGUGCGAUACGGGCGGGCUUGAGCAGAGCAGGGGGCAGUGGAAUUCCCGGUGUAGUGGUGGAAUGCGUAGAGAUCGGGAGGAACACCAGUGGCGAAGGCGACUGCCUGGGCUCGUGCUGACGCUGAGGCGCGAAAGCGUGGGGAGCGAUCCGG
RNAcentral lists this non-coding RNA (253 nucleotides) under uncultured Chloroflexota bacterium. RNAcentral describes it as "uncultured Chloroflexi bacterium contains 16S-23S intergenic spacer region". It matches the Rfam family "Bacterial small subunit ribosomal RNA", at positions 524 to 776 of the family's 1533-position model. The record is from RNAcentral. Lineage: Bacteria; Bacillati; Chloroflexota. RNAcentral also lists the same sequence under 1 other name.